UUAUAUGCUAUAACACUACUACUCACCGAUUCCUUCUCUCUAGGCAUGUGAUUCAUGAUGAGAGUGUCUUUCCUUUUGGGCACUCCAAGCCUUCAAUUCCAUCUAGCAAUAUUUCUUUUUGUCCUUCAUCUUCUUUCAAGGCUCCACCUAUUGUAGUUUCUAUUUCGCAUAAUGUGCCUUCCUUGGCUUCUAGUCCAGUUCCUAAUCUUGCUUCCUCAC
RNAcentral lists this long non-coding RNA (219 nucleotides) under Prunus persica (peach). RNAcentral describes it as "long non-coding RNA (PPER_LNC001277)". Lineage: Eukaryota; Viridiplantae; Streptophyta; Magnoliopsida; Rosales; Rosaceae. The record is from RNAcentral.